Molecule: ribosomal RNA, 980 nt
Filed under: Salmonella enterica subsp. enterica serovar Meleagridis
Lineage: Bacteria; Pseudomonadati; Pseudomonadota; Gammaproteobacteria; Enterobacterales; Enterobacteriaceae
Description: partial 23S ribosomal RNA
Rfam family: Bacterial large subunit ribosomal RNA
Source: RNAcentral
GAAGGUGGCCUGUGAGGGUUGCUGGAGGUAUCAGAAGUGCGAAUGCUGACAUAAGUAACGAUAAAGCGGGUGAAAAGCCCGCUCGCCGGAAGACCAAGGGUUCCUGUCCAACGUUAAUCGGGGCAGGGUGAGUCGACCCCUAAGGCGAGGCCGAAAGGCGUAGUCGAUGGGAAACGGGUUAAUAUUCCCGUACUUGGUGUUACUGCGAAGGGGGGACGGAGAAGGCUAUGUUGGCCGGGCGACGGUUGUCCCGGUUUAAGCGUGUAGGUGUGUGUUCCAGGUAAAUCCGGUUCACUUUAACACUGAGGCGUGACGACGAGGCACUACGGUGCUGAAGCAACAAAUGCCCUGCUUCCAGGAAAAGCCUCUAAGCAUCAGGUAACAUCAAAUCGUACCCCAAACCGACACAGGUGGUCAGGUAGAGAAUACCAAGGCGCUUGAGAGAACUCGGGUGAAGGAACUAGGCAAAAUGGUGCCGUAACUUCGGGAGAAGGCACGCUGACACGUAGGUGAAGUGAUUUACUCAUGGAGCUGAAGUCAGUCGAAGAUACCAGCUGGCUGCAACUGUUUAUUAAAAACACAGCACUGUGCAAACACGAAAGUGGACGUAUACGGUGUGACGCCUGCCCGGUGCCGGAAGGUUAAUUGAUGGGGUCAGCGCAAGCGAAGCUCCUGAUCGAAGCCCCGGUAAACGGCGGCCGUAACUAUAACGGUCCUAAGGUAGCGAAAUUCCUUGUCGGGUAAGUUCCGACCUGCACGAAUGGCGUAAUGAUGGCCAGGCUGUCUCCACCCGAGACUCAGUGAAAUUGAACUCGCUGUGAAGAUGCAGUGUACCCGCGGCAAGACGGAAAGACCCCGUGAACCUUUACUAUAGCUUGACACUGAACAUUGAGCCUUGAUGUGUAGGAUAGGUGGGAGGCUUUGAAGUGUGGACGCCAGUCUGCAUGGAGCCGACCUUGAAAUACCACCCUUUAAUGUUU